RNAcentral lists this ribosomal RNA (543 nucleotides) under uncultured Haliea sp. RNAcentral describes it as "bacterial SSU rRNA". It matches the Rfam family "Bacterial small subunit ribosomal RNA", at positions 76 to 616 of the family's 1533-position model. The record is from RNAcentral. Lineage: Bacteria; Pseudomonadati; Pseudomonadota; Gammaproteobacteria; Cellvibrionales; Halieaceae.
GCUUUCGGGCUGAGUAGAGCGGCGGACGGGUGAGUAACGCGUAGGAAUCUACCUGGUAGUGGGGGACAACUUGGGGAAACUCAAGCUAAUACCGCAUACGCCCUAAGGGGGAAAGCGGGGGACCUUCGGGCCUCGCGCUAUCGGAUGAGCCUGCGUAGGAUUAGCUAGUUGGUGGGGUAAAGGCCCACCAAGGCGACGAUCCUUAGCUGGUCUGAGAGGAUGAUCAGCCACACUGGAACUGAGACACGGUCCAGACUCCUACGGGAGGCAGCAGUGGGGAAUAUUGCGCAAUGGGCGAAAGCCUGACGCAGCCAUGCCGCGUGUGUGAAGAAGGCCUUAGGGUUGUAAAGCACUUUCAAUUGGGAAGAAAAGUUUGUCGUUAAUAGCGCCAAGCUCUGACAUUACCUUUAGAAGAAGCACCGGCUAACUCCGUGCCAGCAGCCGCGGUAAUACGGAGGGUGCGAGCGUUAAUCGGAAUUACUGGGCGUAAAGCGCGCGUAGGCGGUUUGUUAAGUCAGCUGUGAAAGCCCCGGGCUCAACCUG